This is a long non-coding RNA of Archocentrus centrarchus (flier cichlid), 343 nucleotides long. RefSeq lists it as uncharacterized. The transcript has 3 exons. Lineage: Eukaryota; Metazoa; Chordata; Actinopteri; Cichliformes; Cichlidae. The record is from RefSeq and is a predicted model, not a curated record.
ACAAAGUACUGGUGUAUUGGUGAACGCAGCUGAUUUUUUUGUAUCCACUGAAUUUGACCAGAAGCUGCUUUUUUCCUGACAUGCAACAUAAAUACAAACAUUCAUCACAGGAUGCACAGUCCCUGCAACUGAAAAGCCUUCCAGCCUGAGCCCGAUACUUCCACCUGCAUGCAUCACAGUAGGAUGAUGUUAGAAGAAUGAUGAGGGACUCAUCAAUUCAACUUUGCCAAAGUGGCAUGUGCCAUUUUGUAUGCCAACGUGGAAUGGAAACUGCGCCCAGGCAGCAUGCGAAGCACCCACUCGCUCAAAGAAGAUAAAAAGGUUACAGCAUAGACUGGCUGCA